GUCAUUUUCAUUUCUAUAUAAAUUUGAGAAUCAGCUUGUCAAUUUCUACCCCAGAAAAGAGCCUACUGGGAAUUUCACUGGUAUUGCAUUGAAUCUGUCAUUUCUUCAGUCUCAUCUUCUAGCGCAUCUUUGAGGCGGCGUCUCAGGACCUUCCCCUUGCAUGUGAGACGGUCGCAAAACCUGAGCCCUGCUCGCAACUCACCUGAGGAGCCAUCUCAGCAGCCCUGUGCAGUCUCCUCACCUUUCCACCUGUUCUCACUCAGAAUCUCUGUCAGGCCUCAGGGCUCCGAGCAAACGCCCCCUCCUCCGGAAGGCCCCCCCAGCAUCCCCAGGCACGGCACCCACAUAACGACUAUGUAGUACUAACAGCACAGGCUGGCCACACGUCAUGCUCAGCGACUUGCCCCUGUUAGUUCACUUACGCCUCCCACCAACACAAUGAGGUGGGGACCAACGCCAUCCUCCAUCUAUGGGUGGGAAACGUGAACUAAAAUAAAAUCUGAAGCCCCCCCCCAGCUGACUGAAUGGACCCCCUCUUGGCUGAGGGGACCCCAGGAAUACCCUAAAGCUGAGCUGCUGGCCCUGAGAAGGGAGGUCAGACAGCUUCAUCAUGCCCCCAUCCCAUCUUGGAGAUGUCCUCGUAACUCAGCACCAGGCCCGAGGCUUUGCAAGAAGCAGCUUAAACCCCACCUGCAGGUCCUCAAUUUCCUUAACAGAUCUCUGGAACCUGAGUCUAUGUCCGGUGGCUUGUCUCUGACUAACAGACUUCCCCUUGUCUUAACUUAAAACAUUCCAAUCCUUUAGACAAAGCUUCAUUUCUUUAACCAACUACAAAUCAAAAAAAUCUUUA
Molecule: non-coding RNA, 850 nt
Organism: Microcebus murinus (gray mouse lemur)
Lineage: Eukaryota; Metazoa; Chordata; Mammalia; Primates; Cheirogaleidae
Source: RefSeq, a predicted model, not a curated record